UGCCUUGUUCGGAUUGUCAGACCUCCCACUCUCUGGAUGUCAGAAACUGCAAGGUAGCAACAGCAGAGGAGGGCAGGGGAGGGCAGAACAGAGAGGGUCUUUUCGUUGAGCUCAUUCUGGACCUCUCAGCCUUGUAGACCUAUGCCAUUGUAGUGAGGUGAGAACAGCUUGACAUGAGCCUUCUGAAAAUCAUGCUGGAACAGCAUCCGUCAGCUUUGCUGUUCACAGGUGAUGAUCCUGAGCAAGCUGGGUUACAGCACCAGAGCCCUUUAUGGGCUGGUGACUGUAAAUCUGAGCUCUCCCAGAGCCACCUGUAUUUCCUCCAGUCCCCACUUCAUUUACCCCAUAAACUUCUUCAAGUUUGCCUGUUCCUGGAUUUCUGGAGAGG
Molecule: long non-coding RNA, 388 nt
Organism: Passer montanus (Eurasian tree sparrow)
Lineage: Eukaryota; Metazoa; Chordata; Aves; Passeriformes; Passeridae
Exons: 3
Source: RefSeq, a predicted model, not a curated record